Molecule: long non-coding RNA, 388 nt
Filed under: Mus pahari (shrew mouse)
Lineage: Eukaryota; Metazoa; Chordata; Mammalia; Rodentia; Muridae
Description: lncRNA (MGP_PahariEiJ_G0006513.1)
Source: RNAcentral
GUGGUGGAGCAUCAUUACCCUGCCAGGGUUCGGUGGAGCGUUGCGUGAAGCGUCUGUGUCUCUGCGAGAUCUUGCUGUGGGCCAGGUCCGUGGGUGGUGGAGGAUCCUUUGCGUAGCAAAAAAGGAAGGCGAGUGCUCCUGCAUCCUCUCCAGACGGUACCCAGAACAUCCACCAUUAUUAGAACCAUCACCCUGCAGCUAGCUUGGACAUCAUUAAAAGGGCUCAUCAGAAGUAUCUGAUAUUCAUGAAGACAGAGUUUCAGGGUUUUCUGCCUGGAGCUACACCCUCCAGGAGCCCCUGCUUGGCUUCCCUUGCACCCAGCCCCAUCCCAACCAGUUACAACUUGGGCUGUGCAUGGUGUUUCUUGGAAACUGGAACACAGACUCC